This 242-nucleotide unclassified non-coding RNA is filed under the name Glomus sp. RNAcentral describes it as "partial contains 5.8S ribosomal RNA and internal transcribed spacer 2". The stretch from base 1 to 65 matches the Rfam family "5.8S ribosomal RNA", at positions 84 to 154 of the family's 154-position model. The record is from RNAcentral. Lineage: Eukaryota; Fungi; Glomeromycota; Glomeromycetes; Glomerales; Glomeraceae.
GUGAAUCAUCAAAUCUUUGAACGCAAAUUGCACGCUCCUCGGAGAGUAUGUCUGUUUGAGGGUCAGCCUAUAAAAAUCGGCAUCGUUGCUGUUUCGCGGUGGCGUUCGUCGUAAUUUGGGGCAUCUUAAACCCUUUUGGGUUAAGGGACUUAAAAUGUUGCUUUUGAUUCCAUGAACGUUUCUAAGAUUUAUUUCUGUACACGUUGAAGGAAUCAGUUUUCAUUAGAUUUGUCUGUCAUAUC